This 552-nucleotide long non-coding RNA is filed under the name Cervus hanglu yarkandensis (Yarkand deer). RNAcentral describes it as "lncRNA (ENSCHYG00000018793.1)". Lineage: Eukaryota; Metazoa; Chordata; Mammalia; Artiodactyla; Cervidae. The record is from RNAcentral.
CGACACACACCUGCUGCCUUUGGAUCAGGGUUGAGCUCGGCCCACGUGCACACCUGCCCUCCCCUUAAACUGUUAAGCACAGAUUCCAAGAGAGCCUGGGAUUCUAAAACACCAUUUGAGGUCGGCGUGCGGGUACCAGUUCACACGGGCGGGAGCCGAACUCACCUCUGCCAUCACCCAGGUUUCCUGGGCUGCGGCACGUGGGGUCAGAGCCUCCAGGCACCUUCAGGUAGGAGACCAACACAGAGACAAAGCUGCUUCUGUAAUCGUGGCCCCUGUGUAGAAGUCUCCAGCAUCUCAUGACUGUGAGGAGCAGAGCCAGGAUUCAAACCCAGGUGCGCCCAGUUCCAGAGACGGCACAGAGCUGGGCCAGGAGAGUGGACUUGGUGCUCGGGCUGCCGUGGGAGCUCGUCGCCCACAGCAGAGGGGACAAGCCAGCAGCCUCGGGCUCCAGUGGUCCAAAGACAAGUCUUCCUUGGUAUUCAUUACAAAUCUGGAAAAUGAAAAUGACCUGGAAAUACUGAGUCAGCAGCCAUGAAAUUAAAAGACACU